AGUCGUACUCCUAUAUAUACGCGGAUACAUAUUUAUAUAUAUUCCAUAUAUUUCAAGAGGCGGUUACACACUUGCACAUCCACCUCUCAACGCGAUCUAUUCGACGAAAUCAUCAAGAACACGACUAAGCUAUCUCUCUCUUUUCGUCUCUCACAAGGUUGUAGAUAGUCCCAUUGCAUGAUGGCUGGGCAGAGGAUUAACUAUGGCAAAAGAUCCCAUUCUCAGUCUGACUACGCUGGGAGUGAAGGUAGUAAGAGAAGAAAUCCUACUGAUGAGAGGGAACAGCAUGCUAUUGGGUCAGAAGAUACUGUAUACCGUUACUUAUGCCCUGUGAAAAGGAUUGGAAGUAUUAUUGGGAAGGGAGGCGACAUCGCAAAGCAAUUAAGGGCAGAAACUCAAUCAAAGAUUAGGAUUGGUGAGACUGUGCCUGGAUGCGAGGAGCGCGUUGUUACUCUAUAUAGCUCGAGUGAGGAAACCAAUAACUUUGAAGAUACUGAUGAGCUUGUUUCACCCGCACAAGAUGCUCUGUUUAGGGUGCAUGACAGGGUUGUUGCUGAAGAAACACUUGCUGAUGAUGAAUUCGAGGAGUCUCAACAAGUUACCAUUCGACUACUGGUGCCAUCAGAUCAGAUUGGAUGUGUUAUUGGGAAAGGUGGGCAAGUUAUUCAGAACAUGCGUACUGAAACUCGUGCUCAGAUUCGUGUUCUAAGUAGCGAACAUCUGCCACCUUGCGCUUUGAGUUCCGAUGAGCUUCUCCAGAUAACUGGUGAAGCUUCACUUGUGAAGAAGGCUCUCUUCCAAGUGGCAUCUCGUCUUCAUGAUAAUCCUUCAAGAUCUCAACACUUGCUCUUGUCUUCAUCAAGUAUUUAUAAAUCUGGUGGCGCAUUUAUGGGUGGUCCACAUGCACCAAUCAUGGGUGUAACUCCAUUUGUGAGUCCUUAUGGAGGUUACAAGAAUGAUAUUGGAGAUCGGUCAGCUUAUGUAAAGGAAUUCUCACUUCGCUUGGUUUGCCCAACUGAAAAUAUUGGAGGUGUUAUUGGAAAAGGUGGUGCGAUUAUAAACCAAAUCAGACAAGAAUCUAGGGCAUCUAUUAAGGUUGAUAGUUCAGGUGCUGAAGGAGAUGAUUGCAUUAUAUCCAUAUCCGCAAAGGAGUUAUUCGAAGACCCAUCCCCAACCAUUGACGCAGCAAUGCGAUUGCAACCAAGAUGUAGUCAGAAAGCUGAAAAAGAAUCAGGUGAUUCCAUAAUCACUACGCGUCUAUUAGUGCCAAGUUCUCGAAUUGGAUGCCUUAUUGGUAAAGGUGGAUCUAUCAUUUCGGAGAUGAGAAAUGUGACAAGAGCAAGCAUCCGCAUUCUUUCGAAGGAAAACCUUCCUAAAGUUGCUGCUGAAGACGAGGAGAUGGUGCAGAUUACUGGGGACCUCAAUGUUGCUAGCAAUGCCCUUGUACAAGUAACUAUGCGGUUAAAAGCCAAUUUGUUUGAAAUGGAGGGAGCUUUAGCUACUUUGCCACCAGUUCCCUACCUUCCCAUGUCAGUGGACAUGGCAGAUGGUUCCAAAUAUGGAAACCGUGAUAGUAAAUCACGUGGACGUGGAUAUUCUACUCACUCUGAUGAGUAUGAUUCCAGUGACAUGCGUCUCAGUGACAGAUACGGAAGUUAUGGUGGUUCGCAGAGCGGCGGCAGAAGUGGUUACGGAGCAUAUGGCAUUUAUUCUUCUGGUCCUUCUGGUGGUGCUGGGUUAUCGGGUCAUAACCCUGUUUCCCAUGGGAAACACCAUGGGUAUUAAAGUCCAGGAUUCUUGUGGCCUGCAGGUUAGCUUUUGAGACUAUGCUUCAAAUGCAAAAGCAUCAUUAGAGCUUUAGAUUCCCUGGGAGGUAGCUCUACAAAUCAUUCUGAAGUGAUGGUUUGAGCUCGAUAUGCUGUCAAAGGUUCAGACUGUUCAGUAACAUUUUAGAUACCAAGAUCCAUCAGCUAUGAGGUUUGAUGUGUGAUUGGAUCAGUUGCCACUACACUCAGGUAAGUUACUCUUUUUCUAGGUGCAAAGUAAUGUUCCAAAAUAAGAUGAGGUAACUGACCUGGAAAGCGAAAGAGCCUUUGUUGGGCUUUACUAACGUUCAUCUUGAAUAGAGCCAUUCCUUUAUCUCGAUGCAGAAGAUGGAGGGAGUUUUCGGGUGGAGCAGUUUGGUAGCUCGCAGGCUCAUAUGAGGUCACACGGGUUCGAAUCCUUGCUCUGCAGUCUUUCUUGAGUCAGAGAGAAUUAGGUAGAUAGUAUUUCGCUUGCCUAAUACAUCUUAGAAAGAUUCGGUUCCCAAACCUUCAAACCUCCAGCUACCCUUCGUUCCUUGGGGAGAGAGGCUUACUUAUUGACACCUAUGAGUGGCUUUGACUUUCUCACCAUCUGUGACCGAAACUGAAACCUUGGUCCCACCUAUGUUGUUGAGGUUGACGAACAGCCGUCCUCCUAGACAUUACCGCUAGAAUCGUAGUGGAGGGCUACUAAAAAAUAUAGGGCUUAUCCUUGAGUGUCAUUACUUUAGGUCUUUAUGAUUAGAUCUCCAAGUAGUGGUAGGAAUGGAUUCAAGUAAGAUUCAUUCUCCAUGAGACCUUCCCGGUCCUUUCUCGGAUUCUACGUGUAAUAAUAGGUUAUAGGUUAUAAAUAUGAUCGAAGCAAUGUCAUAAAAUAUUUAAAUAUACUCAAGUGAACUAAUAUAAAUAUAUAUAUAUAUAUAUAUACACACACACACAAAUUUCCUCCAUAUUUUUCCAAUAGCAAAUACAGCCACGUGAAGUUGGUAACAAUCGAUUGCUGUCCGUCCUUGCAUAGUACAAUAUGUACAAGCUGCCUGCCCAAACAAAGUGCCAGUAGAACUACAAUCUAGCUAUCCUUAACACAACAAUAUUUGCAAUUGCAUGUAUCCAAAUCUUUACUUCAGUAAGGACUAAACUCCUUUUAUUAAGUGAAAGAGAAUGUAGGCUGUCCGUCCUUGCAUAGUACAAUAUGUACAAGCUGCCUGCCCAAACAAAGUGCCAGUAGAACUACAAUCUAGCUAUCCUUAACACAACAAUAUUUGCAAUUGCAUGUAUCCAAAUCUUUACUUCAGUAAGGACUAAACUCCUUUUAUUAAGUGAAAGAGAAUGUAGGGUGAGGUGUUGAGGUUGAUGAGCCCUACAACAGUCCUACCCAUGUCUUUGUUUUGAUGUAUAAAGUUGUGUGUGGGUCAACAAGUCAGGUUGCAUAACAAAUCUCCAUCAUCCGAGAAACUUAAAAUAUAAAAAAAGGACUACAUGUAGAGGGAAUAAUAUAAUCCUUCUGAUUUGAAAUGGGACAGCGUCGUACCUGUCUUUUUAGACAAAAAUUCCUAUUUGUUUCUUUCAUUCUUUGUAACUUAUCAAAAUAGUAAUUUAAGAAUAUUCUCCUUGCCCUCCUCUUGCUCCCUACCUUUGCAAGUACCUUUCCACCAUAUAGUCCAUACUGUGGCCAAUUGCCUUUAUGCACUGGAUCUACAACAUUCGUACAAACACACACAAAGAGAGAGAUUUUAUAUAUAUAUAUAUAUAUAAAGAGAGAGAGAUGUUACCCAAUAAUUGACCCUAGAGGGGGGUGAAUUGGGUCUUUGGCAAACAAUGGAAUUUAAUCGAUUCAAUCAAAAUCUAAGUGAAAGUAACUAUACAAUUUUAUGCUAGAUAGAAAUUUAAAAAAUGAACAUAAAAUAAAUAGGUAAGGGAUAGAGAAAUUUAAAACACUUGGGUGGUUAGUUUGGUGUGGUUGAAUGAAAUAAAGUGAGAAUGGAAUGAAUCAGAUAAUGGAAUGGGAAUGGAAUGAAUCAUAUAAUGGAAUGGGAAUGGAAUGACCAUUCUCAUUCGCAUGUUUGGUUGCACAGAAAAACAUCCUAUUUUUGUAAAAAAAAUAUGUGUGUGUGUGUGUGUGUGUGUGUGUGUGUGUAUGUAUAUAUAUAUGUAGUUCCAUCAAAUGUUUUUUUUAUUCAUUUAUUUAUUAUUAUUAUUAUUAUUAAAGUGGGAAUGAAAUGGUCAUUCCUUUAGUUGGAAAGUGGAAUGAAUUAGUGGGAAUCACCAUUCUCGAAGAAUGGACAAGAAUCAUCAUUUCAACUUUAAAAGUUAGUUACCAUACUAAAGAAUGAAAACAAAAACAUUCCAUUCCUACUUCAUUUGAUUCCAUUCACUCACACCAAACAUGGCAUUGACACCAAGAUUUUAGCGAGGUUCAGAAUCUCCUACUUCACGGUUCAAGAUCUUUCUUGAGACUUCCCAAUCCACUAGGCUUCUCCUUUCGAGUAGGGAGCAAACCGGAACAAGAAGUACACCACUUCUCAAAUGCUUAGAGAACAACCUUCUCCAAGACUUCCUUUAGGGUCACACCAACCCUUGGAUUAGUAGUGUUACAAUUUGUUGUUUCUCUAGUUAUGUAGCGUGCUUCUUUGGUCUCUCACCGGAUUAUGUGGUGCAGCUUUAUAAUGUACUACUGCCAUCUCUUAGGACAUUGCUUCCCUCCUAUUUUUGGUUCCAAUUCAAGCACAUAAGAUUCAAGAAAAUUUUGGAAUCUUUAUAUCACUAGUCACCUGGAUUUUCAAUUUCCUCCCAAUUUGUUAAUUGGGUUUUCUUCUCAAUUGGUUUGCUAGUUUGAUAUAUGCAUCAAGUGAAUUCCUUUUUUGUCCUUGCAGUAAUCAGGAAAUGUUGAUUUUUUGAGGGUACUAGGAAGUUCUUUAUCAUUUAUAGAUACAGCUGGUUUGAUCAAUGUCCGCUUCUACACGGAAGAUGAUUGCAUAGAUAUGGCUGCUUUCUUGGGGACCCCACUGUGCUUUAAUAGCCGUUGGUUCAAAAUCUAUCAUUGGGCUUAAUGUUAUUUUGUGCAUUAUCUUGCUGGUUUUUCAAUGCUACAACCUGCAGGGUCUAUAUUUCCAGCAUGCUUAAUCAUGUGAUUGUCUGAUGAAGUGCAAUCGAUAAAUAGUUGGAUCACUAGUUGAUUUCUGCAGAAGUUGCAAGAACUAUUGACUAAUGAUUUGCAAAAUGCCGGCCUUCUGGUGUUGUCUCUUCAAGGAGAGUAAGUGCAUGCAUAAUGAAGUAUGCAAGUGGCUAUUGUUAAUGGCAGCAAUUGUGCGCUCUGCUGCGGGUUGGGGUUUGGUGCCCAGUUGGUCUAACGUUAUAUGGUUGUUGGUGGUUCAGUUUCAUUAAACGGAGCAUCAUUUGGUUUGUACGAUCUUCACGAUGCAGUUAUAGGAAGUAUUUUAUUUCAUUAUUAGUUUAGUGUUCACUCCCACUAUUGUUUCCUCCUCUCCAUUUUAGUAAUUAAAAGUAUUGUUGAUUAGGAUAACGUUUUUUUCGUUUUAGUUGUGUCGGGGUGUCUUGAAUUAUGAAUAAAACCAAAAGAAACAGACGUUACCCCGUUAAGAGUUAGAUAUCUCAUUUCAAACUUAAUUUGGAGAGUGAUUUUUUUUCAUUUGGACA
This is an RNA transcript of Cornus florida, 5462 nucleotides long. It is a transcript of the gene named RNA-binding KH domain-containing protein RCF3-like, with no coding region annotated. The transcript is spliced from 9 exons. NCBI's taxonomy places the organism in Eukaryota, Viridiplantae, Streptophyta, Magnoliopsida, Cornales, Cornaceae. The record is from RefSeq and is a predicted model, not a curated record.